Molecule: ribosomal RNA, 450 nt
Filed under: uncultured bacterium
Lineage: Bacteria
Description: partial 16S ribosomal RNA
Rfam family: Bacterial small subunit ribosomal RNA
Source: RNAcentral
CCUACGGGGGGCUGCAGUAAGGAAUAUUGGUCAAUGGACGAAAGUCUGAACCAGCCAUGCCGCGUGGAGGAUGAAGGUCCUCUGGAUUGUAAACUUCUUUUAUAUGGGACGAAAACAGGCCUUUCUAGGCCGUCUGACGGUACCAUAUGAAUAAGCACCGGCUACCUCCGUGCCAGCAGCCGCGGUAAUCCGGAGGGUGCAAGCGUUAUCCGGUUUCACUGGGUUUAAAGGGGGUUGAUAAGGCAGGGGUGAAAUCUCCGAGCUUAGCUUGGAAACUGCCAUUGAUACUAUUAAUCUUGAAUAUUGUGGAGGUUAGCGGAAUAUGUCAUGUAGCGGUGAAAUGCUUAGAUAUGACAUAGAACACCAAUUGCGAAGGCAGCUGGCUACACAUAUAUUGACACUGAGGCACGAAAGCGUGGGGAUCAAACAGGAUUAGAUACCCGAGUAGUC